Molecule: ribosomal RNA, 458 nt
Filed under: uncultured bacterium
Lineage: Bacteria
Description: partial 16S ribosomal RNA
Rfam family: Bacterial small subunit ribosomal RNA
Source: RNAcentral
CCUACGGGAGGCAGCAGUGGGGAAUAUUGCACAAUGGGGGAAACCCUGAUGCAGCGACGCCGCGUGAGUGAAGAAGUAAUUCGUUACGUAAAGCUCUAUCAGCAGGGAAGAAACACUGACCUUACGGUCAGCAGACGGUACCUGAGUAAGAAGCCCCGGCUAACUACGUGCCAGCAGCCGCGGUAAUACGUAGGGGUCAAGCGUUAUCCGGAUGUACUGGGGGUACAGGGAGCGGAGACGGUGCGCCAAGUCUGGAGUGAAAUGCCGGAGCUUAACUGCGGAACUGCUUUGGAAACUGGCGAACUAGAGGGCGGGAGAGGUAAGCGGAAUUCCGAGUGUAGCGGUGAAAUGCGUAGAUAUUAGGAGGAACACCGGUGGCGAAGGCGGCUUACUGGACCGUAACUGACGUUGAGGCUCGAAAGCGUGGGGAGCAAACAGGAUUAGAUAGCCUAGUAGUC